Non-coding RNA from Lasius niger, 46 nucleotides. The record is from Rfam. NCBI's taxonomy places the organism in Eukaryota, Metazoa, Arthropoda, Insecta, Hymenoptera, Formicidae.
CAAUCGGCCCUUUUUAGGGCCACUCCAAACAAAGCCAAAAAUAAUU